GGGGCGAUAGCUCAGUUGGGAGAGCGUCAGACUGAAGCACACUUCAAUCUCAUCCUCUGGAUAUCUGAAGGUCCCGUGUUCAAUCCACGGUCACCCCA
This 98-nucleotide transfer RNA is filed under the name Hapsidospora chrysogenum ATCC 11550. RNAcentral's name for it is "Acremonium chrysogenum ATCC 11550 tRNA". It matches the Rfam family "tRNA". From Rfam's summary of the family: Transfer RNA (tRNA) molecules are approximately 80 nucleotides in length. Their secondary structure includes four short double-helical elements and three loops (D, anti-codon, and T loops). Lineage: Eukaryota; Fungi; Ascomycota; Sordariomycetes; Hypocreales; Bionectriaceae. The record is from Rfam by way of RNAcentral.